Molecule: ribosomal RNA, 301 nt
Filed under: uncultured bacterium
Lineage: Bacteria
Description: partial 16S ribosomal RNA
Rfam family: Bacterial small subunit ribosomal RNA
Source: RNAcentral
CAGCCGCCGCGGUAAUACGUAGGGUGCGAGCGUUAAUCGGAAUUACUGGGCGUAAAGCGUGCGCAGGCGGUUCGUUAAGACAGAUGUGAAAUCCCCGGGCUUAACCUGGGAACUGCAUUUGUGACUGGCGAGCUAGAGUAUGGCAGAGGGGGGGUAGAAUUCCACGUGUAGCAGUGAAACGCGUAGAGAUGUGGAGGAAUACCGAUGGCGAAGGCAGCCCCCUGGGCCAAUACUGACGCUCAUGCACGAAAGCGUGGGGAGCAAACAGGAUUAGAUACCCCUGUAGUCCCUGUCUCUUAUU